CCAGUUCAGAUCACCGGUGUG
RNAcentral lists this non-coding RNA (21 nucleotides) under Arabidopsis thaliana (thale cress). The record is from RNAcentral. Lineage: Eukaryota; Viridiplantae; Streptophyta; Magnoliopsida; Brassicales; Brassicaceae.